AUCCAAUUGACGAGUCCCGAAUAGGACGAAACGCGCGUCCUGGAU
Molecule: non-coding RNA, 45 nt
Organism: Schistosoma haematobium
Lineage: Eukaryota; Metazoa; Platyhelminthes; Trematoda; Strigeidida; Schistosomatidae
Source: Rfam